RNAcentral lists this ribosomal RNA (492 nucleotides) under uncultured bacterium. Its description in RNAcentral is "partial 16S ribosomal RNA". It matches the Rfam family "Bacterial small subunit ribosomal RNA", at positions 29 to 507 of the family's 1533-position model. The record is from RNAcentral.
AGUGAACGCUGGCGGUAGGCCUAACACAUGCAAGUCGAACGGCAGCACAGUAAGAGCUUGCUCUUACGGGUGGCGAGUGGCGGACGGGUGAGGAAUACAUCGGAAUCUACUUUUUCGUGGGGGAUAACGUAGGGAAACUUACGCUAAUACCGCAUACGACCUACGGGUGAAAGCAGGGGAUCUUCGGACCUUGCGCGAUUGAAUGAGCCGAUGUCGGAUUAGCUAGUUGGCGGGGUAAAGGCCCACCAAGGCGACGAUCCGUAGCUGGUCUGAGAGGAUGAUCAGCCACCCUGGAACUGAGACACGGUCCAGACUCCUACGGGAGGCAGCAGUGGGGAAUAUUGGGCAAUGGGCGCAAGCCUGAUCCAGCCAUACCGCGUGGGUGGAGAAGGCCUUCGGGUUGUAAAGCCCUUUUGUUGGGAAAGAAAAGCAGCAGGUUAAUACCCCGCUGUUCUGACGGUACCCAAAGAAUAAGCACCGGCUAACUUCGUG